UUUUUUUUUUUUUUUCUUUUUUCUUUUUAAAGGUUGGAGGAAGUCAGGGCAGAAAUGCAGGAACUCAUUCCUGGCUUUUGCCCUGCACCAUGAUCUGAGGCUGGACCUCCUGGGGUCCUGGCUGCUGAUGUGGAACUGGAUUUUGAGGGUCAAGUCAGCUCUGGAAUCACUGGUACUAACUGCCAGUUAGUGAGAACCACUAGUUCUUCCAGAGUCUGGAGGAGGGUACUAGGAGCAUGCUGCUGAGAAUGAAAGAAAAAUGGUUUGAGUCAUAGAAUCUGCAUAGAAAUGACACAGGGUGGCCAAGCUUAUGUGUAGGGAGAUGCCGCUGUUCAGGGCACACAAAGAGUAACUAAUAUGCCCCCUCACAGGAGCUGUUGGUGGACCCAGAGGCAUGUAGACUCACGUGUUUGCGCAGUGCUGGUCCCCUGCCCGGAAUGAACACAUGGCCAUGUGGGAGGAAUGGCUUUCUCCUCCCUCAGCUUUUUACCGUGGCCCAUUAUAGAGGAACUCCAGCCCUUUUGGAAACAGUGAUCAGAGCUGCUUCUGCUUAUCCCUCCAUGCUGUCAAUUGCUCUCUCUCUCCAAGUGGGUAAUGUGAUAAGAAGGGGGGCCUGCACAGGGGUGGCACAGGCACCCUUCCUUGCUCUGCUGUCAGGGCUGCCCUGCCUUCAGGGAGCCUGCAUUCUACCCAUCCUCACUGGAGCAAGGUCUACCCCUGCACAGAAAAGACGUGCAGUUCUGAGUGCAACCGAGAGUAUCAAAAGCCCAGCUGUGGAUGGGGACCCAAGCUAUGCUUGCCAAUCCAGCCUUUUGGGUAACAAAGUCGAUGAUGGCUCCUGUUCCCAUGAAAGGGACUGAUAUUUCAUCUAAGCAGCAAAGAAUGGCCCACUUGGGUUAGUGGAGAGAAAGCAUUGAAGGAAAGGAAGGUGGCAUGAGUGAAGCGGUGGAGGGGCCCAGAGAAGAGUACUAGCAAACAAGGCAGAAGGAGAGGCAGGAGGCUGGCCACCAUAGGCCUUGGGUGCCAUGCUGAGAAGUUCAAGCUCAUUGGACAGAAAUACGAGAGCCAUGAAAGUUUGUUUAUGACAAAAAUCAGAAUCUAAGAUUCUGACAACCUGGCCACUGACUAGAAGGAAGGAGUAGGAGAGGUCAUGGGGGCUGAAGGGUCAUGGGGAAGUCGGUUUCAAGUGUGGUGGCCUGAAAGCUGCAGAUGGCAUUCUGAGAAGCUUGGGGGUGAGAAGGAGGAGGGUGGGGAAACGACAAUGACCUUGGUGGCAGACGUUUGGGGACUGAGCUGGUGUAGGACAGCCAGAGAGGAGGGUCCAGCAGAAGCCUUAGGAGGGAGGUUGGAGCCCUCUCAUGAGGUGGAGAAGCCUGGGGUUUAGAUAGGAGAGCCAUCAUCAUUACGUGAGAAUGGAGCUGUGGAGGGAGAGACAGCAUGGUGGGA
This 1446-nucleotide long non-coding RNA is filed under the name Macaca fascicularis (crab-eating macaque). Its description in RNAcentral is "lncRNA (ENSMFAG00000055641.1)". The record is from RNAcentral. Lineage: Eukaryota; Metazoa; Chordata; Mammalia; Primates; Cercopithecidae.